Molecule: ribosomal RNA, 445 nt
Filed under: Anodonthyla vallani
Lineage: Eukaryota; Metazoa; Chordata; Amphibia; Anura; Microhylidae
Description: partial 16S ribosomal RNA
Rfam family: Bacterial large subunit ribosomal RNA
Source: RNAcentral
CAGCCUGCCCAGUGACAAAGUUAAACGGCCGCGGUACCCUAACCGUGCGAAGGUAGCAUAAUCACUUGUUCUUUAAAUCAGGACUAGUAUGAACGGCCUCACGAGAGCUAUACUGUCUCCCCCCUUCAAUCAGUGAAACUGAUCUCCUCGUGAAGAAGCGAGGAUAGUCAUAUAAGACGAGAAGACCCCGUGGAACUUAAAACUUGCACCACUGCCCCCAUACCACAUCCAAAUAAUUCGGACAGCAUGGCAGCGAGUCUUUCGGCUGGGGCGACCGCGGAGAAAAAUAAAACCCCCGUGAUGAAAGGAACACCCUAAUCAAAGAGCUACCGCUCUAAGAAUCAAUAAAUUGACACAUUGACCCAAACAUUUUUUUGAUCAACGAACCAAGUUACCCCGGGGAUAACAGCGCAAUCCAUUUCAAGAGACCCCAUCAACAAAUGGG